Molecule: ribosomal RNA, 484 nt
Filed under: uncultured bacterium
Lineage: Bacteria
Description: partial 16S ribosomal RNA
Rfam family: Bacterial small subunit ribosomal RNA
Source: RNAcentral
AUUGAACGCUGGCGGCAUGCCUAACACAUGCAAGUCGAGCGGAUGAAGGGAGCUUGCUCCUGGAUUCAGCGGCGGACGGGUGAGUAAUGCCUAGGAAUCUGCCUGGUAGUGGGGGAUAACGUCCGGAAACGGGCGCUAAUACCGCAUACGUCCUGAGGGAGAAAGUGGGGGAUCUUCGGACCUCACGCUAUCAGAUGAGCCUAGGUCGGAUUAGCUAGUUGGUGGGGUAAGGGCCUACCAAGGCGACGAUCCGUAACUGGUCUGAGAGGAUGAUCAGUCACACUGGAACUGAGACACGGUCCAGACUCCUACGGGAGGCAGCAGUGGGGAAUAUUGGACAAUGGGCGAAAGCCUGAUCCAGCCAUGCCGCGUGUGUGAAGAAGGUCUUCGGAUUGUAAAGCACUUUAAGUUGGGAGGAAGGGCAGUAAGUUAAUACCUUGCUGUUUUGACGUUACCAACAGAAUAAGCACCGGCUAACUUCGUG